UUAGCUGGGGCCCUGGUGCUGGUGAGUGAGGACGAUAGUGGCCUGAACCUGGUGGGACAGACCCUGGGAGAGCAUUAGAAGGACAAUGACCCCAAGUGUUCGUGUGGCCGGUGCUUCUUUUCCAAAGUUUUCCCCAUUCUGGUCUUGCUCAGCCAGGUCACAGACGCCCCCCUUAUGGCCACCAAUUAAUUUCAACUUGUCUUAAAAUUUUAACGAUUUGCUAAUCGAUACGGACCAGGCAUCCCACCGCUGGUGUCUCAAAGUGAAAGGUAGAAGAACUGAAAUGCUGCCUGCAGGCAACUCAACUCCAGGUUACGCCUCCAGAGCCCUAGAUCCUCAAGGCUUCUACCCAGUUCCAGACUCCACAGAUGGGGUUCCCUCAGUUACGAUGCUCUUUCUACCAGGCUGGGCAAGUCCCAGAUUCCAGCACCACAAUCACCAUUUCUUGAGCAUGAAAUGAAGGUGCCAGGAACGGCGAAACCCCUCACCCACACCAUCAAUUGUAGUUCUCACAAGGACUCCACAAGGGAGGCGGUGUGAAGACAGCCCCGUUUUAUGGAUGAAGCUACUGAGGCCCAGAGUGGGUGGGCUGCCUGAAGGAGCCUUGUGAAGUAGGGGGUCUCCCUGAGGAGGGAACUGAGGCUCAGAGAGGGUCAGGAGCUCACCCAAAGCCAAACAGUAAUGUUUCUACUGCCAGGCUUUACUCCUACCUCAUCCAGUGGGGGCUGGACGUCUUCCACCCUCAUCCCCCAGCCAGGGUUGCUUUACAGGGAGUCUUUUAAAAUGACAAAUCAGAUCAUAUCACCCUUUGGCUGAAGGACUUCUGUGGCUGGUGAGGGGACUGUGACCAUCAGAGCCGAGUCUGUCUCAUGACCUCCGCGCCAGCCAGAUGCCAGCACCGGGGCAGCUGCAGCCACAGUGUAACUCCGAGGUCCCCGGAAGACACAUUUGCCGGCGGUGCUUGGGCUUCCCGUCACCUUCAGUCCUCACAACUACUCCUGUGGGUACACAGGGCUGCCCCUGUUUACACAGGAGCAAGCUGAGGCUCCCACAGGGGAAGCGUCGUACCCAGGCUCACACAGCUUGGAAAUGGCGGGUCCAGGCCCAGGGCUGCCUGCCUUCCUUCAGUCAGCCCCUCUGAGGUCUCAUUUCAGGAAGGCAGCGAGAUUGAUGUACUACUCUGCAGCCGGGCCCUGCUGUUCCCAGCUCUCUGGACCUGACUGGCUCUGCCAGCAAGUGUUUUAUUACUUAAAUCACAUCCAAUCAGUAUUACCCCUUUGGCUGGACACUGAGAGAUUGUUUCAGCCACCAAGGUGGAAAGUGAAAGAGGAAUUGCUGGAGAAAGAGGGGAAAAGAUCAGCUGGACAGAGGCGGGGGCGAACCGGGAGGCAGAGGAACCCUGUGGUCAAGGAGGCCGGCCAUGGAGCCAGGGCAAUAGGCUUCCAGCACAGCGAUCCCAUCACCGGCCCCCGGUGGCCCCCGAUGACUCCGAGCCUUGGCUUCCUCCUGGGUGAAAUGGCUCUGGAUGUGUCCAGCCUUCGGGUGGCUCCGUUUCUGGAAUUUUCACUGACGCUGACUCUGCGGGACCCUUUCACCGCCUCUCUCCUCCCAGCCUGUGCACGGCUGGUGGCUCCCCUGGGAGCUUCUGUCAUCCCGUGGCCUGCCCACCCCUGCGUAUCCCCCUGACCCGGGCUGAAAGGAAGCGCCUUCCGCCCCCACGCUGGACUGUCCACCCUGCUCUGCCCACAGUGGGUGCUCCCCUUCCCAGGGUGUUGCAUCCGUCCUGCUCGGUAUUGCUUCCUCAGCGCCUAGGACGGGGCCUGGCACAUAGUAGGUGCUUAGAAAGUGGGUGACAUUUAUUUAUUCACCAAGUAUGUCCUGAGCACCAGCUGCCUGCCAGGCCUUACCUGGGUGCUGGGGAGCCUGUGGACGAGGGGGAGCAGGACUCUUGGAGGCUCUGGUCGGCACCAUACUUUCUCCCUCUACCCUGAGGUGGUCUUGGCUUCCGUGUGCAUCAUCCACACCCCUCACCCCACAUCCCCUGGGCCCCAUCACCCCUUCUCCCACAGUAUUGUCCAUCACAGGGGAAGAGCAGACCUGGCCAUCUGUGACUGGGCAUGUGGCCCCAGUCUGUAGGUAGAGUCUCUGUGGAGACUGCCCUGGCCGUGCUGUGGGCGGUCUGGGUUGCGGUGCCUGGAUGGGUGGUUCUUGAGCUCAGCGGAGUGGUCAGGGCCUCGAUAGAGGGACAGGAGCCACUGUUGACAGCAGCGGGUGAGGCAGGCAAUAUAAAACAGACGUGAGUCAGUAUACAAAUGAAUUCCACAGAUUGGACUCCAGUUGGCUGGGGGAGUUGAGCAAAGCCAUGACCUUGGAGGGGCUUCUUGCUUCCAGGAAAGUCCCCCUCUGCCCUUGCAGUCAGAGCUGCCCCUGCUGCUGCUUCUAAUGCUAAUACUCUCUAUUCCCCAAGAUGCUCCGGCUCCCUGCUUCCUGGCUGCCUCUCCCCUGUCUGAGUUUAUCUAGUUCCUCAUUUGUUGGGUGGGGGAGGUGAGGUUCACAGACAAGACUGUAGCCUGCCUCUCAAUAAGGCACUCGAUACGUGCUGAAUUAAUGAAGACACUUAGACAAAGCACAGUGCUUGCUCUGUAAGAGUUUGCUUUGUACCAGAAAUAUCAUAGGCACCCAAGUAAUGAAUAAGAAACUGCCUUAGGAGGGAGCCAGAGGGUGGGGUACACAUACUGACUGUGUGACCUGGGUAGGUGCCGUCACCUCUCUGAGUCUCUGCGUCAUCUGCUGGUUGUGAGGAAUAAAUAGAGGAGGACA
Molecule: long non-coding RNA, 2820 nt
Organism: Hipposideros armiger (great roundleaf bat)
Lineage: Eukaryota; Metazoa; Chordata; Mammalia; Chiroptera; Hipposideridae
Exons: 3
Source: RefSeq, a predicted model, not a curated record